Molecule: ribosomal RNA, 840 nt
Filed under: uncultured bacterium
Lineage: Bacteria
Description: bacterial SSU rRNA
Rfam family: Bacterial small subunit ribosomal RNA
Source: RNAcentral
AGAGUUUGAUCCUGGUUCAGGAUAAACGCUGGCGGCGUGCCUAAGACAUGCAAGUCGAACGAGGGACCUUUGUAGCAAUACCGAGGUUUCCUAGUGGCGAAUGGGUGAGUAACGCGUUGGUGACCUGCCCCGAAGUGAGGGAUAACAGUUCGAAAGGACUGCUAAUACCACAUGUGGUCAGCGGGUUUAGAAACCGCUGACUAAAGGAGUAAUUCGCUUCGGGAGGGACCUGCGUCCCAUCAGCUAGUUGGUAGGGUAACGGCCUACCAAGGCUACGACGGGUAGGGGGCCUGAGAGGGUGGCCCCCCACAUUGGCACUGACACACGGGCCAAACACCUACGGGUGGCAGCAGUCGGGAAUAUUGCACAAUGGGCGAAAGCCUGAUGCAGCAACGCCGCGUGCGCGAUGAAGGCCUUCGGGUCGUAAAGCGCUUUUUGGGGAGAUGAGAAAGGACAGUAUCCCCAGAAUAAGGAUCGGCUAACUACGUGCCAGCAGCCGCGGUAACACGUAGGAUCCAAGCGUUAUCCGAAUUUACUGGGCGUAAAGCGCGUGCAGGCGGUUUGGUAAGUUGGAUGUGAAAGCUCCCGGCUCAACUGGGAGAGGCCGUUCAAAACUACCAGACUAGAGGGCGGUAGAGGGAGGUGGAAUUCCCGGUGUAGUGGUGAAAUGCGUAGAUAUCGGGAGGAACACCAGUGGCGAAAGCGACCUCCUGGACCGCACCUGACGCUCAGACGCGAAAGCUAGGGGAGCGAACGGGAUUAGAGACCCCGGUAGUCCUAGCCGUAAACGAUGCAGACUUGGCGUCGGUGGGGUAAAAGCCAUCGGUGCCGAAGCUAACG